GAUGAACGCUAGCGGCAGGCUUAACACAUGCAAGUCGAGGGGCAGCGUGGAGCAGCAAUGCUCUGACGGCGACCGGCGGAAGGGUGCGUAACACGUGAGCGACUUGCCCGUCACAGGGGGAUAACCGGCGGAAACGGCGACUAAUACCCCAUACGAUGCGAUGCUGCAUGGCAUUGCAUUGAAAGAUUCAUCGGUGGCGGAUAGGCUCGCGGGACAUUAGCUAGACGGCGGGGCAACGGCCCACCGUGGCGACGAUGUCUAGGGGUUCUGAGAGGAAGGCCCCCCANACUGGGACUGAGACACGGCCCAGACUCCUACGGGAGGCAGCAGUGAGGAAUAUUGGUCAAUGGGCGGAAGCCUGAACCAGCCAUGCCGCGUGAAGGACUAAGGCCCUACGGGUCGUAAACUUCUUUAGACGCAGAGCAAUAAGGUCCACGCGUGGACCGAUGAGAGUAUGCGUAGAAUAAGCAUCGGCU
RNAcentral lists this ribosomal RNA (476 nucleotides) under uncultured bacterium. Its description in RNAcentral is "bacterial SSU rRNA". It matches the Rfam family "Bacterial small subunit ribosomal RNA", at positions 28 to 498 of the family's 1533-position model. The record is from RNAcentral.